UUUGGAAGUUCCCUUGGGGU
This 20-nucleotide small nuclear RNA is filed under the name Arabidopsis thaliana (thale cress). Its description in RNAcentral is "snRNA_13582". Lineage: Eukaryota; Viridiplantae; Streptophyta; Magnoliopsida; Brassicales; Brassicaceae. The record is from RNAcentral.